AGAAAUGCUAUUAUCUCUCUUCUUUGUAUCGUAGUCUUUCUCCGUAUCGCUAUCCUCUCUCUCUCUGUUUUUUCUCUCGAUCUCUUCUAUGUGUCAUCUUUUUUUAUUUUCAUAUUUAUAGUAGAAGGGAAAAUCGGAGAAAUCGGAGCGAUUCGUUGAGUUAGGCGAGAGAAAUUUUGAGGAGUCGGUUAGGGAUUCAAAAUUCGAAAUCGAAUUUUGAAUCGGUUGUUGGAGGGAUAGAUAUUUUCUAGUCAGUUGAGAGUUUAAAAAUUCGAAAUUCGAAUGCAUGUGGUUGGUUAGGAGAUAUUUCGGAAGUUGGUUGAAGAUUUGAAAUUGAAUUUUGAAUGGGAAAGGAUUUGUAAUGAGAUUGUUGGGAUAAGAGAUAUUUUCUAAUUGAAUAUUGAAUUUUAGGAUGUCGAUAUGGGCUGUCAUUUAUUAGGCCCGCUUUGAUGAAAUUUGUUGGGCACAAAUAAUAAUAUUUGUUGGGCUGAAAUGAGGUCCGAAUUAUUGCAUAGGCUUAAAAUUCAACG
RNAcentral lists this long non-coding RNA (530 nucleotides) under Ananas comosus (pineapple). RNAcentral describes it as "long non-coding RNA (ACOM_LNC016712)". The record is from RNAcentral. Lineage: Eukaryota; Viridiplantae; Streptophyta; Magnoliopsida; Poales; Bromeliaceae.